RNAcentral lists this transfer RNA (73 nucleotides) under Ailuropoda melanoleuca (giant panda). It matches the Rfam family "tRNA". From Rfam's summary of the family: Transfer RNA (tRNA) molecules are approximately 80 nucleotides in length. Their secondary structure includes four short double-helical elements and three loops (D, anti-codon, and T loops). Lineage: Eukaryota; Metazoa; Chordata; Mammalia; Carnivora; Ursidae. The record is from Rfam by way of RNAcentral.
GCCUGGCUGGCUUAGUUGGUAGAGCAUGUGAUUCUUGAUCCCAGGGUUGUGAGUUUAAGCCCCACACUGGGUG